CCUACGGGAGGCUGCAGUGAGGAAUAUUGGUCAAUGGACGGAAGUCUGAACCAGCCAUGCCGCGUGCAGGAAGAAGGCUCUAUGAGUUGUAAACUGCUUUUGUACAAGGGUAAAACUGAAUACGUGUAUUCAGCUGAAAGUACUGUACGAAUAAGGAUCGGCUAACUCCGUGCCAGCAGCCGCGGUAAUACGGAGGAUCCAAGCGUUAUCCGGAUGUAUUGGGUUUAAAGGGAACGUAGGCCGGUCUUUAAGUGUGCCGUGAAAUUUUAUGGCUCAACCAUGCGAGUGCGGCUCGAACUGGAGAGCUUGAGUGCGCGGAAGGCAGGUGGAAUUCGUGGUGUAGCGGUGAAAUGCUUAGAUAUCACGAAGAACCCCGAUUGCGAAGGCAGCCUGCCGCAGGAUUACUGACGCUGAAGCUCGAAAGCGCGGGUAUCGAACAGGAUUAGAUACCCUAGUAGUC
RNAcentral lists this ribosomal RNA (460 nucleotides) under uncultured bacterium. RNAcentral describes it as "partial 16S ribosomal RNA". It matches the Rfam family "Bacterial small subunit ribosomal RNA", at positions 338 to 795 of the family's 1533-position model. The record is from RNAcentral.